CAGAUAAUUAGUUUGUUAAAUGUGUUUACACCACAAAAAACUCUAGAAGAAUUUCAAGAUGUGUAUUUGGUUAUGGAAUUAAUGGAUGCUAACUUAUGUCAGGUUAUUCACAUGGAGCUGGAUCAUGAAAGAAUGUCCUACCUUCUUUACCAGAUGCUUUGUGGUAUUAAACAUCUGCAUUCAGCUGGUAUAAUUCAUAGAGACUGUGCAUGCGGCGCCUGUGGCCCUGCACCUGGAAGCUGGGCAUCAGUUUCUCUGCGUGAAGGGCCAGCAGGAGUGAGGAAGGAGUGGAGCCUCACUUCUGGGAUGGAGAUGGGGAUCUGGGACAUCUACUACGUACUUGGACUUUCAAUAAAAUGAAAACUUCUCCAA
Molecule: non-coding RNA, 372 nt
Filed under: Pan troglodytes (chimpanzee)
Lineage: Eukaryota; Metazoa; Chordata; Mammalia; Primates; Hominidae
Also listed under: 1 other name
Source: RNAcentral